Molecule: ribosomal RNA, 245 nt
Filed under: uncultured bacterium
Lineage: Bacteria
Description: partial 16S ribosomal RNA
Rfam family: Bacterial small subunit ribosomal RNA
Source: RNAcentral
UACGGAGGAUGCAAGCGUUAUCCGGAAUUAUUGGGCGUAAAGCGUCCGUAGGUGGUUCAUCAAGUCUGCUGUUAAAGCGCAAGGCUUAACCUUGUAAAGGCAGUGGAAACUGGUGGACUAGAGUGCGGUAGGGGUAGAGGGAAUUCCCAGUGUAGCGGUGAAAUGCGUAGAUAUUGGGAAGAACACCGGUGGCGAAAGCGCUCUACUGGACCUGCACUGACACUGAGGGACGAAAGCUAGGGGAG